RNAcentral lists this ribosomal RNA (515 nucleotides) under uncultured bacterium. RNAcentral's name for it is "partial 16S ribosomal RNA". It matches the Rfam family "Bacterial small subunit ribosomal RNA", at positions 28 to 523 of the family's 1533-position model. The record is from RNAcentral.
GAUGAACGCUGGCGGCGUGCCUAAUACAUGCAAGUCGAGCGAAUGGAUUAAGAGCUUGCUCUUAUGAAGUUAGCGGCGGACGGGUGAGUAACACGUGGGUAACCUGCCCAUAAGACUGGGAUAACUCCGGGAAACCGGGGCUAAUACCGGAUAACAUUUUGAACCGUAUGGUUCGAAAUUGAAAGGCGGCUUCGGCUGUCACUUAUGGAUGGACCCGCGUCGCAUUAGCUAGUUGGUGAGGUAACGGCUCACCAAGGCAACGAUGCGUAGCCGACCUGAGAGGGUGAUCGGCCACACUGGGACUGAGACACGGCCCAGACUCCUACGGGAGGCAGCAGUAGGGAAUCUCCCGCAAUGGACGAAAGUCUGACGGAGCAACGCCGCGUGAGUGAUGAAGGCUUUCGGGUCGUAAAACUCUGUUGUUAGGGAAGAACAAGUGCUAGUUGAAUAAGCUGGCACCUUGACGGUACCUAACCAGAAAGCCACGGCUAACUACGUGCCAGCCGCCGCGGUAA